CGGCACAGGGCGGCUUGCUUACACAUGCAAGUCGAACGAUGAACCACUUCGGUGGGGAUUAGUGGCGAACGGGUGAGUAACACGUGGGCAAUCUGCCCUGCACUCUGGGACAAGCCCUGGAAACGGGGUCUAAUACCGGAUACUGAUCGCCUUGGGCAUCCUUGGUGAUCGAAAGCUCCGGCGGUGCAGGAUGAGCCCGCGGCCUAUCAGCUUGUUGGUGAGGUAAUGGCUCACCAAGGCGAUACGAUACGGGUAGCCGCCCUAGAGAGGGCGAACCGGCCAACACUGGGACUGAGACACGGCCCAGAAUCCUACGGGAGGCAGGCAGUGGGGAAUAUUGCACAAUGGGCGAAAGCCUGAUGCAGCGACGCCCGCGUGAGGGGAUGACGGACUUCGGGUUGUAAACCUCUUUCAGCAGGGAAGAAGCGAAAGUGACGGUACCUGCAGAAAGAAGCGCCGGCUAACUACGUGCCAGCAGCCGCGGUAAUACGUAGGGCGCGAGCGUUGUCCGGAAUUAUUGGGCGUAAAGAGCUCGUAGGCGGCUUGUCGCGUCGGUUGUGAAAGCCCGGGGCUUAACCCCGGGUCUGCAGUCGAUACGGGCAGGCUAGAGUUCGGUAGGGGAGAUCGGAAUUCCUGGUGUAGCGGUGAAAUGCGCAGAUAUCAGGAGGAACACCGGUGGCGAAGGCGGAUCUCUGGGCCGAUACUGACGCUGAGGAGCGAAAGCGUGGGGAGCGAACAGGAUUAGAUACCCUGGUAGUCCACGCCGUAAACGGUGGGCACUAGGUGUGGGCGACAUUCCACGUCGUCCGUGCCGCAGCUAACGCAUUAAGUGCCCCGCCUGGGGAGUACGGCCGCAAGGCUAAAACUCAAAGGAAUUGACGGGGGCCCGCACAAGCGGCGGAGCAUGUGGCUUAAUUUCGACGCAACGCGAAGAACCUUACCAAGGCUUGACAUACACCGGAAAACCUCCGGAGACAGGCUCCCCCUUGUGGUCGGUGUACAGGUGGUGCAUGGCUGUCGUCAGCUCGUGUCGUGAGAUGUUGGGUUAAGUCCCGCAACGAGCGCAACCCUUGUCCCGUGUUGCCAGCAGGCCCUUGUGGUGCUGGGGACUCACGGGAGACCGCCGGGGUCAACUCGGAGGAAGGUGGGGACGACGUCAAGUCAUCAUGCCCCCUAUGUCCUUGGGCCUGCACACACGGUGCUAUACAAUGGAACGUACAAUGAGCUGCGAUACCGCGAGGUGGAGCGAAUCUCAAAAAGCCGGUCUCAGUUCGGAUUGGGGUCUGCAACUCGACCCCAUGAAGUCGGAGUCGCUAGUAAUCGCAGAUCAGCAUUGCUGCGGUGAAUACGUUCCCGGGCCUUGUACACACCGCCCGUCACGUCACGAAAGUCGGUAACACCCGAAGCCGGUGGCCCAACCCCCUUGUGGGGAGGGAGCUUUCGAAGGUGAACGGCGU
Molecule: ribosomal RNA, 1457 nt
Filed under: Streptomyces sp.
Lineage: Bacteria; Bacillati; Actinomycetota; Actinomycetes; Kitasatosporales; Streptomycetaceae
Description: bacterial SSU rRNA
Rfam family: Bacterial small subunit ribosomal RNA
Source: RNAcentral